Long non-coding RNA from Populus nigra (black poplar), 1565 nucleotides. RefSeq lists it as uncharacterized. The record is from RefSeq and is a predicted model, not a curated record. Lineage: Eukaryota; Viridiplantae; Streptophyta; Magnoliopsida; Malpighiales; Salicaceae. The transcript is spliced from 4 exons.
AUAUCCAUCAUAUGGAGUAGAUUUGGGUCUCUGCGAUAUCAUAAACUAAUGGCACAUGAUUAUUAGUUGCAUUUAUGUGAGUCCACCUUUUUUGAAAAUGAUACUAUGUGAACGCUGAUGGCUGCUAUGUUCAGUAAUAGCCUCCUGCGUGACUGACUGGGACAAGUUCAUAGUUGGAAGAAAUUCAAUUUGAAGACUUGGCCUUGAACCAAUAUGAUGGCUAUAACUGGAAAAUGUAGAUAUUAGUUCUUUCUAUGCCAGAUGAAAUUUCAAUCGAAAACCAACUUUUCAAUUAUGAAGCCUUCUGAUUGUAAUUGCUUUGUGGAAGAUCUAAACUGCUUUGUAACAAUCAAGACUAUCCUCUAAACACUAUCCAAUGUGGCCAUGUUCUCAUGUUGAAAAUAUAAUUGAUUGGAAUUGAGGCUUUAGAAUUUAUGGUCGGUUUAAUAGUUUAUCAAUAUGCUGCAAUUGUGUAUUUUUAUUUUUGAAUCAUUUGGAGGAUUAGAAUCUAACAAGCAAGCUUUGUAUGAACCGGUGAUUCUUCCUCUGCGGAAACCUGAGCUCUUCUCACAUGGGAAACUUCUUGGUCCACAAAAGGGGGUAUUGUUAUAUGGACCUCCAGGCACCGGGAAGACCAUGCUUGCAAAAGCUAUUGUCAGAGAGUCUGGAGCUGUUUUUAUAAAUGUGAGGAUCUCUAAUCUGAAGAGCAAGUGGUUCGGCGAUGCACAAAAGCUCUUUGCUGCUGUUUUUAGCCUGGCUUAUAAACUACAGAUCAUGAGGCAUGAAGCUUGAGUUCACGACAUUCUGGGAUGUAUUUACUACAGAUCAGAAUGCACAAGUGAUGGUACUAGCUGCAACCAACUGACCUUCAGAACUCGAUGAAGCAAUCCUCCAACGUCUUCCUGAGGCCUUUGAAAUUGGGAUACCUGAUCAAAGAGAGAGGGUUCAGAUCCUGAAGGUUGUUUUGAAAGGGGAGAAGAUCAAAAGCAAAAUUGACUUUGACUGCAUAACAAGUUUGUGUGAGGGCUACACUGGUUCUCAUCUGUGAUUUGUUAUAAUCCCAGCAAAUUCUUCAAGGCACCAAGGCCAUUGUCCCAGUCAGACUUGCUGAGAGUUCUUGGCACAUCAACUAAGACUAGGGUUGCUGCAAAUGAGUACAGGAGGUCAAGCUCACAUUCACCUAGGUGGCCAGGUAGUCAGAUGACUAUCAGGUUCAAGCCAUAACUAACAAGCUCUCUAUACUCGCAGUAUCUCAAAUCUUGAAUCUUCAGUCGGAUAAUCAGGACCCUUGAAAUAUUGAUUUGUUUUUUCUUGAUAUCAGGCCAAGAGAAAUUGUAUUUUAAAUUAUUUUAAUGUUUUUCCUAUUCUGAAAUGCUCUAAGUAGAAUAUGUUGUUUUUAGGCGACUCAAAAUUGCAGAUUUGCUGUAGCAUAGAGCUCUUAACGUGGUAUUAAUACCUAUCUUGCUUUUCUUUUGCUUUAGAUAUAAACUUGCCAAUCACCAAUGUUGACUGAUUUUGUUGAUGAUUUUGGCUAUGUGUCAGAGUUGUGGAACAUUGUUUGUCCA